UCCCGACCCUUUCGUUCCCUAGCCUUAGCAAGCCUAUACAACCUAUUUUCCUCUCCUUUCUCCUCUAACCCCGCAUACAAGCUCUCAAACGCUGCUGUCUUAGCAGCCGUAACUGCUAGCUUAGCCUCCUUCCUUGCUACUUUGUAGACCUCCCUAUCCACCCGUUUCUCCUCUGUAUCUUUACUCUCAAUCAACUUAACAUACACCUCCUUCUUGAUCUUUACUUUCUUAUUAACUUCUUCAUUUCACCACUAGUUCCCCUUAUGCCGUCCUGCCC
Molecule: long non-coding RNA, 277 nt
Filed under: Capsicum annuum
Lineage: Eukaryota; Viridiplantae; Streptophyta; Magnoliopsida; Solanales; Solanaceae
Description: long non-coding RNA (CANN_LNC017661)
Source: RNAcentral